Molecule: small nuclear RNA, 102 nt
Organism: Camelus dromedarius (Arabian camel)
Lineage: Eukaryota; Metazoa; Chordata; Mammalia; Artiodactyla; Camelidae
Source: Ensembl
GUGCUCCCUGCGGCAGCACGUAAACCAAAAUUGGAAGUAUAGAGAUUAACAUGGCUCCUGCAUAAGGAUGACAUGAAAAUUAGUGAAGCAGCCCAUUUUUUU